This 550-nucleotide ribosomal RNA is filed under the name uncultured bacterium. RNAcentral describes it as "partial 16S ribosomal RNA". It matches the Rfam family "Bacterial small subunit ribosomal RNA", at positions 355 to 918 of the family's 1533-position model. The record is from RNAcentral.
UGGGGAAUAUUGCACAAUGGGCGAAAGCCUGAUGCAGCAACGCCGCGUGAGUGAUGAAGGUCUUCGGAUUGUAAAGCUCUGUCUUUUGGGACGAUAAUGACGGUACCAAAGGAGGAAGCCACGGCUAACUACGUGCCAGCAGCCGCGGUAAUACGUAGGUGGCGAGCGUUGUCCGGAUUUACUGGGCGUAAAGGGUGCGUAGGCGGAUGUUUAAGUGAGAUGUGAAAUACCCGGGCUUAACUUGGGUGCUGCAUUUCAAACUGGAUAUCUAGAGUGCAGGAGAGGAGAAUGGAAUUCCUAGUGUAGCGGUGAAAUGCGUAGAGAUUAGGAAGAACACCAGUGGCGAAGGCGAUUCUCUGGACUGUAACUGACGCUGAGGCACGAAAGCGUGGGUAGCAAACAGGAUUAGAUACCCUGGUAGUCCACGCCGUAAAACGAUGAGUACUAGGUGUAGGAGGUAUCGACCCCUUCUGUGCCGCAGUAAACACAUUAAGUACUCCGCCUGGGAAGUACGAUCGCAAGAUUAAAACUCUAAAGUGAAUUGACAGGG